Molecule: long non-coding RNA, 700 nt
Organism: Patella vulgata (common limpet)
Lineage: Eukaryota; Metazoa; Mollusca; Gastropoda; Patellidae
Exons: 3
Source: RefSeq, a predicted model, not a curated record
GUUGACAAGUGUUGGUCUGUGGUGUGUGAAUAAAAGCUGUUUGGUUGGAGAUAAAUAUUUUCGAUCAAUAAAGUCUACUACCUGAUAAAACUUUAUUGUUUUAAAGAUACAAUCUUAUUUCAUAUUUGUAACCGUUACUAACCUUGCCAGUGAUUUCAUCUUAAUAAGGUAUUUUUGGAAUUUAUUGCUGAUCAGAUUCUAGUGGAUAUUAAGGUAUUAAAAAACAACGGCGCCUAAAGGUACAUUCUGUGAUGAUUGACCUUUAAUAUGGAUGAUGUGAUAAUGAAUGUUUUUCAAAACCAGCACGCGUCAAUUGGGCAGAUCUUAUUGGGCUCCUUGUUCCUGUUAUGUGUAUCUUGUACCGUCGGCUCUCGGUGUUCAGCUAACACAUUUGGAUCGGUAAUUCCUGAUACUUCGCUGUCUACCAGUAUUUUUGAUAAGGUAUAUCCUGGAGGUUUGGCACUAUGUGCUAGAGAAUGUAAAUAUAGACGGCGUUGUAAAUCGUUUAAUUAUGUUGAUGCUACUGGUGAAUGUCAGUUAAACGAAGAUGUUAUAACAGGAUCUGGCGAAAAUACAACUGGUGUAUCUUACAGUAAUAUAGACACAUGGCCGGAAACGAUAGGAAGCACGUGCGCCAAUGAUAUAUGUACAGAUUUAGAUAAGUGUGUACCUAGUGCAACAGGAUACACAUGUCAAGCAA